UCGCCUGUUUAUCAAAAACAUCUUCUUUAGGUUUUUUUAAAGGUUGGGCCUGCUCUAUGAGUUUACUUAAAUGGCCGCGGUAUAUUAACUGUGCUAAGGUAGCAUAAUAAUUAGUCUUUUAAUUGAGGUCUGGUAUGAAUGGUUUGACGAAGGAUUUUCUUUAUUAGUUUUAAUUUUUAGAAUUUUAAUUUUAAGUUAAAAUGCUUAAAUUUUUGUGAGGGACGAUAAGACCCUAUAGAUCUUUAAAAUUUAAAUUUUGUUUUUGGUUGAUUUUAUAAUUUUUUAUUUUUUUGUUGGGGUGAUAGAUAAAAUUUUUGAACUUUAUUUUUUUAUGUCAUUGAUUUAUGAUUUUAUUGUUCCUUUAUUAUGGAUUAAAAGUUAAAGAUACCUUAGGGAUAACAGCGUUAUGAAUUUGGGGAGUUCUUAUCUAUAAAUUUGUUUGCGACCUCGAUGUUGAAUUAAGGUUAAUUGAUGGGGUAGGUUUUAUCAAUUUAGGUCUGUUCGACCUUUAAAAUU
Molecule: ribosomal RNA, 516 nt
Filed under: Perloma brunnescens
Lineage: Eukaryota; Metazoa; Arthropoda; Insecta; Hemiptera; Kinnaridae
Description: partial large subunit ribosomal RNA
Rfam family: Bacterial large subunit ribosomal RNA
Source: RNAcentral